This is a non-coding RNA of Cinara cedri, 823 nucleotides long. Lineage: Eukaryota; Metazoa; Arthropoda; Insecta; Hemiptera; Aphididae. The record is from the annotation of a GenBank genome assembly.
GGAAUUAAGAAUCAAUCAGGUAAAUCCACUACCUACCUAAAAUUCUAAUUCCUAGUCCGAUAAUUGAAAUAAUGCAUAUUCCUAAUGAUUGAAAACAGUGUUUUUCGAGUCAUUUAUCGAUAGAUAGGACAAGAAAAUAUGAUUCAAUGUACUAAUGAACUACAAAAUCCACGUUCGGAAAUUGUCCCUCAAUAAGAAACGGAUCAGUGUGCAGAGGUACUUUCGGGAUUCUUGUAUUUAUUUUUCACAGACACAUAGAAAUAUAAGUAAUAAGUUACCUAUACGGUGUAAAUGUAAGAAUUUAAUAGACGAAAAUAAUCGCACUUAAAUAAACAAAUUAUUCAAUACUUUUGAAUUAUUUGAACAUAGAUUUAUGAAUAAACAUAUAAAAUUUUUCCAAUCUCUGGAAUUAAGAAAUAAGAAUCAAUCGGGUAAAUCCACUAUCUACCUAAAAUUCUAAUUCCUAAUCAAAUUUUCGAAAAAAUGUAAAUUCCAAAUGAUUGGAAAGAGUGUUUUUCGCGUCAUUUAUCGUUAGAUAAAGUACGAAAGUAAGAUUAAAUUUACUAAUAAACUACAAAGUCCGUGUUUGAAACUUGUCCCUCAAUAAGAAAUGGACCAGUGUCCGGAUUAUAAUCACCUAUUUUCAAAAAUUAUUAUUUUUUGAUUCAAUAUUCUAUAAGCUUGAACAUAUUCAAUUAACUUAACAACAUCAACACGAGCUCUGUACUAUCUAUAAUACAGCUCAAAGAAUUCAUUUUAAUUUUACUUUACCAUUGAAAAAAUUGAACAAAUUUUUGACUUCUAUUUAGAAUAAUAUGUACUU